This 18-nucleotide small nuclear RNA is filed under the name Arabidopsis thaliana (thale cress). RNAcentral describes it as "snRNA_19247". Lineage: Eukaryota; Viridiplantae; Streptophyta; Magnoliopsida; Brassicales; Brassicaceae. The record is from RNAcentral.
AGAACCCACAAAGGGUGU